RNAcentral lists this long non-coding RNA (5334 nucleotides) under Sus scrofa (pig). Its description in RNAcentral is "lncRNA (ENSSSCG00000041154.2)". Lineage: Eukaryota; Metazoa; Chordata; Mammalia; Artiodactyla; Suidae. The record is from RNAcentral.
CCCUCUUUCGUCUCUCUUCCUUGGUACUUGUGUUUGGUUUCACUCCUUCCAUGCCUUCUUCGAAGGCAUCAGAUACUCCGGUUGGACCUGUCACGCGUCGCUGCCACUUCGCUGAUCCCAGACACCCCCCAACCUGACCGUGCGUGGAGGUGAAACGUGCGUUGGAGGAACCUGUGAACGGAGGAGGGUGAGUUUCAUUUUUGGCCACACAGGCCCCACCAUCCAGACCAAAUGCGGGCGACUGUGGUUUGUGGACAGAGAACUAGAACCAAGGAGUUCCCGUCGUGGCGCAGUGGUUAACGAAUCCGACUAGGAACCAUGAGGCUGCGGGUUCGAUCCCUGCCCUUGCUCAGGGGUGAAGGAUCCAGCGUUGCCAUGAGCUGUGGUGUAGGUCACAGACGCAGCUCGGAUCUGGCAUUGCCAUGGCUGUGGUGUAGGCCAGUGGCUACAGCUCCGAUGAGACCCCCAGCCUGGGACCCUCCAUAUGCCGUGCGACCAUAAACACAACAAACAAACAAACAAAAAAACCAGUAGGAACCGAACAGGGAUCUUAAUGAGCUCUCUAGGGCUAAAGAAAAAGGGUCUCCUCUGGCCCUCCUUGUGUCAGGAGGGCUUUUUUGGCGGCUCUGUGAGCGACUGGGGACACGAGGCUGGCCGGUGGCCGGGCCUCCGAUCUCCACAUGAAUGGACGGCCGCUCUGGGGACUGGACUGCCCGGCGCCGUCUGUCCCUCUUUCACUUUACUGCCACUAUUUUCUGCCAGCUCAGUCUCCCUAAUUCACAUUCAACCUCCCCAAGAGGAGAAUCGGAUUAGUCCCUUAGAGUGGGGAAAAUAAAUGAACCCCAAACCCAGAGCAGGCAUAUUCAAACGAAUUAAAAUAAGCCACAUGCAAACCUACUUAAGUGUUGGCCAGAAACCCAUAGAAAACAGAAGUGAAAUCUGUAAACCCGGCCCCGCGCAGGAUGCGGCGGAGGGGCCCUUCCUUCGCUGCGCUCCCCUCCGCAUCUCUCCGUGGCAGUGGCAGCGGCAUCUGCCACCUGCGUGCGAUCGCGGCUCAGGCUGGUUCCCACACUGCGUCCCAGCCCCCUUCCCACGCCCCCUCUCCUGUGCGCACCCCAAACCACACUUCCCACUCGUCCUGCGUACCCCCUCCUCGCUGAGCAAACCCAGGCUCCCGGUGAGGAAGAGGGAGGGCAGAGAAAGCCCGCAGGCAGUGUGGCCUGAGCCACCGGUGCCUGCACCCCGGGUGAGAGGGAGGCCGCAGGCCACUUUCUGGUGUGGCACCUGCUCUGUGAUUCAGCCGCUCUAUGGGCAUCUGAUACAGAACAAGCUCUUUAGAGGAUUCAGCUCCCUUCCUGUCACCCACAUGGCACAUGCCUGUGACUGUUUCAUUUCAGGAAGAAGGCCUGGGGGUCCUGUGAUUUGCCCUGGGUGAGGGUGGCAUUUGUCUCUGGUGCCUGUGAUUCCAUGACAGCCAGCCCUCCUUUUCCCUGGUUAGUGAGAUCUCGGUACCUUUCCAGGACUGGCUGAGUGAGGGAAGGUGGAACCAGCUCCAGAGGGUGACUGGUGGUUAGUUUAAGGCAAUUCCCCUCUGUUAUUAAUUGGGUUUGGGCAGCAGGGGACUGGGGGCGUGUGAUCCUGUUCUCGCCAAUGAGAUGUAAAGGAAAGUCUGGGAGAAUUUUGGGAAACAUUUUCCAUUCUAAUGAGAACAGAGGUACGUGAAGUGAAUUUCCCCUUUCCUUCUGGCCUGUGUAUAUUAUUGUGUAUGAUGUGAUGUUUGGAGCUCUGGCAGCCAUCUUGUGACUAUGAGGAGAAGAAAAAAAAAAAUCAAGAGAAUGCAGAGAUGCUGACCUAGAGCCUUGAUAUUAUCAAAGCACUGGAUCAAUGUGGGAUUUUCUACGUCUAUACUUACAUGUAAUAAUAAGCCCUUGUUGCUUACACACUGUCAGUCAGGUGUCCUGUUUUUGCUGCCAAAAGCUCCUUGACAGAUGUAUCAGGAGGCAGUGUGCCUUGGGACUUUCUGGGGCGAGGCCCCCGUGGUGAUCUACUCUGCAGAGAGCAAGGGUGAUGGGAGAAGAUGGAGCAGGUUCUGCUUUGGUGGCAGCACCAGCCUGCAGGAAACGUCAGAAUCCGCUGUUGUUCCCACAGAUGGCCACUCAGUUAAGGGGACCUGUUUGUCUGUCUUGGGUUCAGAAAACACCCAUGUUAGGUCCGAGGGGAGUGUUCCUGCCUUUCUUCCCCCCUGGCCUUCCUCUCAGCCAGCUGUCACCCUGGGGGCAGGAAGGAGGGGGUCUCAGGGAGAAAUGGAACUCGCUCGCACCCGCCCCAGGCUAGAGAGAAGCUUUAGCUUUUCCUAAACUUUGAAAAAAUUAUUAUGGUGAUGGGUUUCCACAGAGGUAGGAGGAGCAGAGAAACUCAGCCCCCAUUUAUUCAUUCUCUAAUUUCUUUUUUUUUUUUUUUUUUUUUUUGUCUUUUUGCUAUUUCUUGGGCCGCUCCCACGGCAUAUGGAGGUUCCCAGGCUAGGGGUCGAAUCGGAGCUGUAGCCACCAGCCUACGCCAGAGCCACAGCCACGCGGGAUCUGAGCCGUGUCUGCGACCUACACCACAGCUCACGGCAACUCUGGAUCAUUAACCCACUGAGCAAGGCCAGGGAUCGAACCCGCAACCUCGCGGUUCCUAGUCGGAUUCGUUAACCACUGAGCCACGACGAACAGCUCCCAAGAGUCUGCCUUUUAUGUUAUACCUGUUUGUCCCCAACGCCAUUUCUUCUGGAGGAUUUUAAAGCCCGUUGCAGACACGGCCUCACAAUCCUGAUAAGUACUUCCGUGUGUGUCUCUAAUACCUCAGGACAUUAAAAGAAACACAACCACAGUGCACUGCUCACACCCAACCACUCUCAGUGGUCAGCCCAUACCAUGUGAUACCUAAUAGGCAGCUCAUGCUCAAUUUUCCCCUUGACUCCAGAAUGAAAUUUUUGGUUCAUGUACUCAAACCAGGAUCCAAACAUCCUCGGGAUGGGUCUCCUCGGUUCUCACAUCACUGCUGAUGGCUUUUAAUAGCCCCAGCGGUCAUCCCCUUGCUUCACCGUUUCUUUGCAAAACUAAUUUUCUAAGAACGUGAUUACCUGUGUAUUAAUUAGCUGGGUUCUUCUAUUAAGAAUCUCCCCCCAUCAGCUGCCGGGUUUCUCCGUAUAGGAAGGGCCGCCCAGAGGCUGGAGUCUCUGCUUUCCAUCUUCAAUCCUCCCUGCCUCCAAAGAGAGCCAGUGGGUUUGGGGUUUUUGUUCUUUGUCGGACUUUGUUUUCGUGUUAUUAUUGGGAGCCCAUGAGUUUGUGUCUAUUCGGUUGCUGUCAUCCUUCGUUUUGAUGCUCAGAUUGUCCAAUCUUGGGUGAACUGGUGAGCCUUCCCGUUGGGUCCUGUGUCGUUUUAAACACACUCUGGGGUCAGAGUUCCCCGGUGGCUCAGUGGGUUAGGGGUCUGGCAUUGUCACUGCAGCGGCUUGGGUGACUGCUCUGGCGCAGGUGCCAUCCUUGGGCUCAUCUCCCUUUUCUGCGCCGUAGCUGACCUGAACAGUUUCUCCAAGGAGCCCUGGUUCCUUUCAGUGCACAGUGAUGCUUCGAAAUCAAAUCUGCGUGGAGAAACCUUUCACUUUAAAUGACUGUGGAGCCUUGGCUGUCCCAUGGCGCUGGACGUUUUUAAUUACCGGGGAAUGAGAUUGUGCUAAAGGGAGUGAGAAAACCUGUGUUUUCUGAGGUGGAUGAGAACCUGCCCUGACUCAUGCCUGGCCCUGGCAGUUGAGUGACAUCUCCAGCCUCAGGUGUGCUCACCUGCAUGGUGGGACGAGCUGACCCACCUCAGGGGGCUCUGAUGAGGAGGAAGUAAGAGUCUCCGUGUCAUGUUCACUCUAACGGAUGUUCCCCACACAGGGAAUGUGGGGAUAAUUGUCAUCUCUGAAGCCCAGAGAGAGACUCGCCCUUCUGGGGGACGGGAGCGGUACCCGGAGGAUGGAGGGUUCAGAUGGGCAGACAGGAGCGGUCCAGCAGCGACCAGAGGUCGACCCUGUGCCCGCGGAUGCACACACGGAGGGACGGUGCCCGUGAGACAGCAUGCCAGGCAUUUGGAUGUACAGGCUGUUGGUAAUAGGAGCCCAAACCUACUGUGUGCAGGGAUGGGACACAGACCCAGCAUCGGAGAUGCGAUGAUUGCCCGAGAAUGGGAGUCGUGGCCGCACGACCGCGUGGGGCCGUGGACCACGGGGAAGAAACACUUCGGGGAAGGACACGCUCUGAACCUACCUACCCCCUCCCCGACCAUGCGCCCUGGGCUUCUGAGCUCUGGGAAGGUGUGGGAGAAAGAGCAAGGCCACAGGGGAGGGCAUCUGGCUGGGGACAAGAGGUUUGGGUCGCUUCUGCAGAGAUUUGGGGGUGGUUUGUCACUUGGCACUAUUGCGGCGAAAGCGCGCUCACGUGUGGCGUUGCCGCAGAAAGGUGCCUGGGACUUAGCGGCGAAGAAACAAACGCCACUGUUUGGAUGGUUGACCUAACGUGCCAACUCGUCACCCUGAAGCGAUGCCCAGGGGGCCGGGAGAACCUGAUCUCUGAGAGGGUCUCUAGGGUGUUUCCAGAAGAGAGGAGCAUUUGAAUGGUCGAGUCCAGGGGGCCCCCUCCCCAGUGUGGGUGGCCGUCACCCAGUCCAUUGGUGGCCCGAACAGAACGACAGGUGGAGGAGACAUCCAUCUUCUCCUGCCGUGGGGACCUCAGCGGCUUUCCUGGUCCUCGGGCUCGCACGCGGCACCUGCUGGGGCUUCUCGGCCUCCAUAGCCACUGAGCCGGCUCCUGCAAUCGUCUCCUCUCAUCUGUGUCUGUAUCUGUUUCUUCGGCUUCUCUGCUGGGUUUCUCUGAAGAACACUGACUAAGACGUUAUUUUGGAAAAAAAUAAUAGGGCAUGGAUGCCAGACUCGGCUUUCUCUACACAUGUCAAUUUCUCUCUCUCUCUCUUUUUUUUUUUUAAACAAACCCUUUUAAAAAAUGACCUCAGAGUUCCUGCUGCGGUGUAGUGGGAUGGGUGGUGUCUCUGCAGCAUCAGGAUGAGGGUUCAAUCCCUGGCCCGGCACAGUGGGUUAAGGAUCCAGUGUUGUCAUAGCUGUGGCAUAGCUCGCAGCUGCAGCUUAGAUCUGAUCCUUGGUCCAGAAACUUCCAUAUACUGCAGGGCAGCCCCCCCAAUUUUUUUUUAAAGGUGACUUUCUCAGAGUUCCCAUGAGGCUCAGUGGGUUAAGGACCUGGCCUUGUCACUGCAGCACCUUGGGUCACUGCUGUGGUACAGGUUUGAUCCCUGGCC